CCUACGGGUGGCAGCAGUGGGGAAUAUUGGACAAUGGGCGAAAGCCUGAUCCAGCCAUGCCGCGUGUGUGAAGAAGGCCUUCGGGUUGUAAAGCACUUUCAGUGGGGAAGAAAGCCUUGGGGCUAAUACCCUCGAGGAAGGACAUCACCCACAGAAGAAGCACCGGCUAACUCCGUGCCAGCAGCCGCGGUAAUACGGAGGGUGCGAGCGUUAAUCGGAAUUACUGGGCGUAAAGCGCGCGUAGGCGGUCUGAUAAGCCGGUUGUGAAAGCCCCGGGCUCAACCUGGGAACGGCAUCCGGAACUGUCAAGCUAGAGUGCAGUAGAGGAAGGUAGAAUUCCCGGUGUAGCGGUGAAAUGCGUAGAGAUCGGGAGGAAUACCAGUGGCGAAGGCGGCCUUCUGGACUGACACUGACGCUGAGGUGCGAAAGCGUGGGUAGCAAACAGGAUUAGAUACCCGAGUAGUC
This 465-nucleotide ribosomal RNA is filed under the name Vreelandella stevensii. RNAcentral's name for it is "partial 16S ribosomal RNA". It matches the Rfam family "Bacterial small subunit ribosomal RNA", at positions 338 to 795 of the family's 1533-position model. The record is from RNAcentral. Lineage: Bacteria; Pseudomonadati; Pseudomonadota; Gammaproteobacteria; Oceanospirillales; Halomonadaceae.